GACGAACGCUGGCGGCGUGCUUAACACAUGCAAGUCGAACGGAAAGGCCCUGCUUUUGUGGGGUGCUCGAGUGGCGAACGGGUGAGUAACACGUGAGUAACCUGCCCUUGACUUUGGGAUAACUUCAGGAAACUGGGGCUAAUACCGGAUAGGAGCUCCUGCUGCAUGGUGGGGGUUGGAAAGUUUCGGCGGUUGGGGAUGGACUCGCGGCUUAUCAGCUUGUUGGUGGGGUAGUGGCUUACCAAGGCUUUGACGGGUAGCCGGCCCGAGAGGGUGACCGGCCACAUUGGGACUGAGAUACGGCCCAGACUCCUACGGGAGGCAGCAGUGGGGAAUAUUGCACAAUGGGCGGAAGCCUGAUGCAGCAACGCCGCGUGCGGGUUGACGGCCUUCGGGUUGUAAACCGCUUUCGCCUGUGACGAAGCGUGAGUGACGGUAAUGGGUAAAGAAGCACCGGCUAACUACGUG
RNAcentral lists this ribosomal RNA (468 nucleotides) under uncultured bacterium. RNAcentral's name for it is "partial 16S ribosomal RNA". It matches the Rfam family "Bacterial small subunit ribosomal RNA", at positions 28 to 507 of the family's 1533-position model. The record is from RNAcentral.